UUUUCUUUUCGUCAUUGAUAUUUUACAUAACAAAUUUUGAUUUGCUACUUACAAAUAUGAACCGCUAUAUGCGUGCAUAAAUUAGCUUCAGUUUCAUGUCAAUUUAAAAGAGUCGGCAGUGUUGGUAAUUUGGUGAUUGAUCAAUGAAGGAAAGUUCCCCACAAGAAAAAAUGAAGGAAAGUUGCAGGUAAAAGAAUGUCGUGGAAGGCGUUUUUCUCGUACAGGUCGCCCAUGACGUGAGAAUCCUACUUGGUGGAAAGUCAUCGGUGUGCUUCUCUCCCUUCUGUAAUUUUUACCACGAGCUCUUUUACGGUACUCUGGUACUCUAAAAUAGAACAGGGAGUACCAAUUAAAUUCAACCAUCGAUUCUAAGGGGUAUUAUUGACCUUUUGUGUUGCUAUAAAAUUUUCCCCAAAAGAAAAUCUUUUUUCCCGAAAAAAAUCUUUCUAUUAAUAAAUCUUCCAGUCUAUUUCGUUGACGAUGAAAAAAAAUCCUUUGAUCCAAUCUAUUAACGCCGCCGGCGUUGCAAUCACGUGGCUCUCCCCUUGGAACGCCGUCAAGGGAUCUUUUCCGUAUCCGUCUCAACUACUGACCCGCCCUCUCUUCAGCGCACCAAUCAUCCUCUCCUCAGGGCUAAUUAUCUUCCUGAUGCUCGGCCGCCACACCGCCGAUGGUUUCUCCACUUCGCUCGUAGCACUGCUGAUGUAUCAGGCAAUUCCACCUCUAUCCGUCUCGAUCCCUUUCUCCAUGUGUGCAUAUCUUCGAUCACUGAGAUUGGUCCUUAAUUUGAACAAAAUCCGGUAUAGUUACUUGAGUGUUAAUAAGACCUUCCUAGAUUGAAGACAACGAACUUGCAAAAAAGAACACAACGCCGGCAGAUGCAUGUAGAUCUUGUGCAUUGAAUCCAUACGAGCAGCCAUUCGAGCACGUAGAAACAAUAUCCAGUCAAAUCUGUUAUUCCUAUUCGCAAAAAAAAAUGGUGUAUUCCAAAAAGAAAUCAGAUCCUUUAAGGUAACUGUUCGAUCCGAAUAUUUGGCGCACGCUAUUUGUCAUCUUCUGUUACGUUUUCUAUUUUACGUAUCUGCUGUUACGAUUUUACGCUUUUUUUUGCAGGGGUUAUGAUUUUACCCUUGAACUGGAGGUACUCCUUAACACUUGGUACUAGUACUCCCUAACACUCGCGCUGGAGUACCAAUAAGCAACAUCCGUUGGAUUAAAGAAAAUCGACGAUCUGUGUCGAUUUAAGGGUACUGUAAAAGAGCUCUUUACCAAUACAUGCGAGAUUCCGUGAUUUUACCACGGAAGAGAAAUUGAGCAGUUGCAUAUGUUGAUCAGGUCAUUUAGGACUUGAAUUAGUCAUUGCUGGACGUCAGUUUGGAAGAUAGACUUCGCUUAAUUGUUCCCUUUCCCUUGUCUACUGUUUUGAUCCAUGCCCAAUCAUGGCAGAUUACACAUGGCAAAGCAAGCUAUAGUGUCUAUUUUGGCAACCAUAUGUGUAUGUGACUUGUGUUUCGUAGUCCCUUUAACUACACUGUACUUCUACUGCCUCUUAUCUUUUACAGUUGUGGUGACAAUCUAAUGGGAAUAAGCGCCAGGGACGAGGAGAGGUGGAGACUUGAGGUAACUGCUAUAGCGGUGGUAGGAUCUUGCAUGGAGAAUAGCAGGAGUAAUGUUUGAAUCCUACUAUAGGCAGUGCCUUGCGAAUGGCUGCGACGGCGGGCGGAUAUUUGAGUUCAUUGUGGUAUGCACGAUGGAUGUGUGGUCCGUGGAGUGAAGAUCCAUCUGGCAUGAAUUUUUUCGUUCUUCUGUUGGCAAGUAAUCCUAAGACUUUUUUUCCGGGUGAAUCCUAAAACUAAUUACCCUACACAAUUUACAGUUUUUAUAUUCUUAUGGCACCUAAGUAUAUCUGUAAUUGAAAAAAUGUUCAGAGUUUCCUGUAUGAAGGGCGCGUAUAAAUGUUAUUCAGUUUUAUUUGUAGAGGUGCUUG
Molecule: long non-coding RNA, 1987 nt
Filed under: Triticum aestivum (bread wheat)
Lineage: Eukaryota; Viridiplantae; Streptophyta; Magnoliopsida; Poales; Poaceae
Description: long non-coding RNA (TAES_LNC017762)
Source: RNAcentral